GGAAGAUAAUGACGGUACUUGAGGAGGAAGCCCCGGCUAACUACGUGCCAGCAGCCGCGGUAAUACGUAGGGGGCUAGCGUUAGCCGGAUUUACUGGGCGUAAAGGGUGCGUAGGCGGUCUUUCAAGGCAGGAGUGAAAGGCUACGGCUCAACCGUAGUAAGCUCUUGAAACUGGGAGACUUGAGUGCAGGAGAGGAGAGUGGAAUUCCUA
This 211-nucleotide ribosomal RNA is filed under the name Clostridioides difficile. RNAcentral describes it as "partial 16S ribosomal RNA". It matches the Rfam family "Bacterial small subunit ribosomal RNA", at positions 461 to 672 of the family's 1533-position model. Lineage: Bacteria; Bacillati; Bacillota; Clostridia; Peptostreptococcales; Peptostreptococcaceae. The record is from RNAcentral.